UCUCCCUUGAUCUCUAGUCUUCUCCCGCCCGUAACAAAAUCUUCCCAAAAUUUCAACCUUGAGAAACCCUAAAGCAAUCCCUCACUCCAUAUUCCAUAAGCGGUGGCGGCGCCUUCCCCUCCGAGACUCCGAAUCUCCACCUAGCUCUGCAUCUCUGCUUCCAUAUUUUCUUGCGCCGCCCCUUUUCAGAUCUAUUUGGUGUCAAUCAUCCUUCUCAGUUCUCACCAUACCAAUCCAUCUGGUUGCCCCUCAUCGGAUUGGAAUUUGGAUCUUGUGUCAAUAGUGCAGGGGAGGGAUUAGUGGAUCCUCGAUGGACAGCCGACGAAUCCACAUGAACAUCCUCUGCACCUGCCCCUUCCACACGGAGAUCAUCUUCAGGCAUGGAAGGUACAUACACAUCGGAGGAUUCAGAAGUACAAACAUGUGCUACCUGCUAAUAACUUCGGUUCCUUAAUUACUAUUGAUUUCAUUGGAAGUCUUUCCCAUCCCACAUGUGUUUCCAAGGAUCUUCUAAGGCCAUGAGGCCUAUGGGUAAGUUCCUCAGGUUCUGCUGCCGAUGAGUACGUGAAGGCAGCCGGGUACAACGAUGAAGGUAAGAGAUUUAACGAACACACAUACUCUUCAAUUUGGGCUGUGGUGCGUGCAGGGUGGUGAAGAGCUUGCCGGAGUAUACAGAGGGGUUCGUGGUUGGGGGACACACUAGCGCCCAAGUCCGUCGGUAGUGCGACUCGUGCAGCAGUAGAGCGUUGGAGUGGAACAAUGCCUGCUCUGUGCUGCCAUUGCUCGUCGGCCCCAGGAUGCUCCGCGACCGCACUACCCAGUUCAGGGACAGCCAAGGGGCGCUGCUCCUCGUCGUGUUACAAAAAAAUUGAUUUGUUCCAGACUUCCAGGUCAAUGUUAUUGGCACUGAACCUAGCUAACUACUAGUACUUAGCAGGCUAGUUUUGCUAUGAGGUAAUUCGUAAUUGUUAGCUCGAUAUUGCAUCAACGAUUCUUCCAUGGUUCAAAGGAAAUCGGAUUAUUAAUAGCUCAAUAUUGCAAAUUCUUUUUUUAUCCUUAUUUGUACAAGAGAACACUUCUGGGGGUACCCUAACUUUUUUAUCCGUGGACAACAUAAUGAUAGCUAAGCUGCACUCUUGUAAAAGUAUAAGAUGGUAAGAUUUUUAGCGUAUGAACAUGUAAUAUAUUUUGCUCUAGCUUUUGAAAUUCUUCCUUUUUUUGACUUUCUCGUAUGAUAAUAUACUGCAACUUAAACUUAUGAUAUUUAGUGACAGACUAACAUAAUGUGCGCACACAUUUCCCAUACAGUUUCACAAAAUAUUUUGACCCUACUAUUUCUUUUUUGUAUAUCUUCCUGUUACUACUGCUAAAUGUACAAUUUAUACAUCCAUCAUCCUUUCUUGUCUAUUGUUUCCGAAUAUAUAGUGUAUCUAAAUUUUUUAAUGCCAAUUAUUUUUCUCCUUAAUGGUUUUUGUGUUUGCAACUCAGCAAAAAAUAUAGCUGUAUAUUUUAAUAGGUUAUAAAUGUGUGUAAUGAUCAAUCUAUCUUCUUGGUUUAUGUUAGUUUUUCUUUUUGCAGUAAUAACACAAUGCACAUAGUAUUCCGUCAUCCAUUCAAUAUACAAGGUGGAAAAAUGAUGAUGGUUUAGAACAUGCCGCUCAAUAGAUGUAGCGGGAUUAUUUAUGCAUGGCCUUCACCUUUAUAAACUGAUAUGCAGGGCUCAGAUGCUGAUUGCAAGGUCGAGAAUGAAGCUGCUACUAGAUAGUUCCACAUAAUGUUUUAGAUGUUUUUUGCCAGAUCAAUGCUUCAAACAGUAUAUAUUAAAUAGAAUAAGUAAGAUGUUGAUUGCAAGGUCAAGAACUGGCUGCUGCUACUAGAUAGCUCCACAUCUUGUAAUCUUUGGCUCAUGUUCUUUGUAAUGCAACAAUCAA
Triticum aestivum (bread wheat) is the source of this 1931-nucleotide long non-coding RNA. RefSeq lists it as uncharacterized. The record is from RefSeq and is a predicted model, not a curated record. NCBI's taxonomy places the organism in Eukaryota, Viridiplantae, Streptophyta, Magnoliopsida, Poales, Poaceae. The transcript has 3 exons.